CCUCUGGUAGCUCAGUUGGUAGAGCGGUGGACUGUAGUGAAAAUGCACUCUAGUGCCGGUUAGUUGUAAUCCAUAGGUCGCUGGUUCAAAUCCGGCCCAGAGGA
RNAcentral lists this transfer RNA (104 nucleotides) under Zootermopsis nevadensis. Its description in RNAcentral is "tRNA-Tyr for anticodon GUA". It matches the Rfam family "tRNA". Rfam says of the family: Transfer RNA (tRNA) molecules are approximately 80 nucleotides in length. Their secondary structure includes four short double-helical elements and three loops (D, anti-codon, and T loops). Further hydrogen bonds mediate the characteristic L-shaped molecular structure. tRNAs have two regions of fundamental functional importance: the anti-codon, which is responsible for specific mRNA codon recognition, and the 3' end, to which the tRNAs corresponding amino acid is attached (by aminoacyl-tRNA synthetases). tRNAs cope with the degeneracy of the genetic code in two manners: having more than one tRNA (with a specific anti-codon) for a particular amino acid; and 'wobble' base-pairing, i.e. permitting non-standard base-pairing at the 3rd anti-codon position. Lineage: Eukaryota; Metazoa; Arthropoda; Insecta; Blattodea; Termopsidae. The record is from Rfam by way of RNAcentral.